CAUGCAGCGAGCGGAUGAGAGGAGCUUGCUCUGGAUUCAGCGGCGGACNNGUGAGUAAUGCCUAGGAAUCUGCCUGGUAGUGGGGGNNACGUUUCGAAAGGAACGCUAAUACCGCAUACGUCCUACGGGAGAAAGCAGGGGACCUUCGGGCCUUGCGCUAUCAGAUGAGCCUAGGUCGGAUUAGCUAGUUGGUGAGGUAAUGGCUCACCAAGGCGACGAUCCGUAACUGGUCUGAGAGGAUGAUCAGUCACACUGGAACUGAGACACGGUCCAGACUCCUACGGGAGGCAGCAGUGGGGAAUAUUGGACAAUGGGCGAAANNUGAUCCAGCCAUGCCGCGUGUGUGAAGAAGGUCUUCGGAUUGUAAAGCACUUUAAGUUGGGAGGAAG
Molecule: ribosomal RNA, 389 nt
Filed under: Pseudomonas sp. PE1-2-15
Lineage: Bacteria; Pseudomonadati; Pseudomonadota; Gammaproteobacteria; Pseudomonadales; Pseudomonadaceae
Description: bacterial SSU rRNA
Rfam family: Bacterial small subunit ribosomal RNA
Source: RNAcentral